RNAcentral lists this ribosomal RNA (468 nucleotides) under uncultured bacterium. RNAcentral describes it as "partial 16S ribosomal RNA". It matches the Rfam family "Bacterial small subunit ribosomal RNA", at positions 28 to 507 of the family's 1533-position model. The record is from RNAcentral.
GACGAACGCUGGCGGCAUGCUUAACACAUGCAAGUCGAACGGAAAGGCCCUGCUUUUGUGGGGUGCCCGAGUGGCGAACGGGUGAGUAACACGUGAGUAACCUGCCCUUGACUUUGGGAUAACUUCAGGAAACUGGGGCUAAUACCGGAUAGGAGCUCCUGCUGCAUGGUGGGGGUUGGAAAGUUUCGGCGGUUGGGGAUGGACUCGCGGCUUAUCAGCUUGUUGGUGGGGUAGUGGCUUACCAAGGCUUUGACGGGUAGCCGGCCUGAGAGGGUGACCGGCCACAUUGGGACUGAGAUACGGCCCAGACUCCUACGGGAGGCAGCAGUGGGGAAUAUUGCACAAUGGGCGGAAGCCUGAUGCAGCAACGCCGCGUGCGGGAUGACGGCCUUCGGGUUGUAAACCGCUUUCGCCUGUGACGAAGCGUGAGUGACGGUAAUGGGUAAAGAAGCACCGGCUAACUACGUG